UGCUAAGUGUUAGGGGGUUUCCGCCCCUUAGUGCUGCAGCUAACGCAUUAAGCACUCCGCCUGGGGAGUACGGUCGCAAGACUGAAACUCAAAGGAAUUGACGGGGGCCCGCACAAGCGGUGGAGCAUGUGGUUUAAUUCGAAGCAACGCGAAGAACCUUACCAGGUCUUGACAUCCUCUGACAAUCCUAGAGAUAGGACGUCCCCUUCGGGGGCAGAGUGACAGGUGGUGCAUGGUUGUCGC
RNAcentral lists this ribosomal RNA (243 nucleotides) under Bacillus sp. (in: firmicutes). RNAcentral's name for it is "Bacillus sp. (in: Bacteria) partial 16S ribosomal RNA". It matches the Rfam family "Bacterial small subunit ribosomal RNA", at positions 814 to 1055 of the family's 1533-position model. The record is from RNAcentral. Lineage: Bacteria; Bacillati; Bacillota; Bacilli; Caryophanales; Bacillaceae.